Molecule: long non-coding RNA, 529 nt
Organism: Callithrix jacchus (white-tufted-ear marmoset)
Lineage: Eukaryota; Metazoa; Chordata; Mammalia; Primates; Cebidae
Source: RefSeq, a predicted model, not a curated record
CGCAGGCGCAAACGGUCCAAGGCGCCGAGAUUGCCGGCCGAGUGCGGGAAGAAGGGGUGCUGAGCUGGGAGGUGCCCAUCCCCGGCUAUGUGUGCCCAAGGGAUUUGUGCCCACCCUCGUAGACUCUGGGGGCUGAAGCCGUCGCUCUGGGAGUCCAGUGACCGGCGAGGACGCUCACCUGGCCUGAGGAGGGGGUCGGGCUGCAGAUCGUGAUAGGCCUGGAGAGACAGGGUCUCAAUCUCGUGCCCAGGCUGAAGUCCAAUGGUGUGAUAAUAGCUCACUGCAGCCUCAACCUCUGGAGCUCAAGCAGUCCUCUGCCUCAGCCUCCCAAGUAGCUGGAACUACAGGCAUAUUCUGUCACACCCAGUUCUUAAAAGCUGGAAAUUUGGCAUGGCAUGGUGGCUCACACCUGUAAUCCCAGCACUUUGGAAGGCUGAAGCAGUGGAUCACAAGGUCAGGAGUUCGAGACUAGCCUGGCCAAUAUGAUGAAACCCCAUCUGUACUAAAAAAAAUAAAAAAGUUAACCAGG